Molecule: long non-coding RNA, 271 nt
Organism: Peromyscus eremicus (cactus mouse)
Lineage: Eukaryota; Metazoa; Chordata; Mammalia; Rodentia; Cricetidae
Exons: 2
Source: RefSeq, a predicted model, not a curated record
GUCAGCAUGUGACUCGUCAGCCCCAGGAAAGUGGCCUGGUGGAUACAGGAGGGCACCCUUGACUGGAUUCCAUGUCACCUUUUUCUCUUGCCAGGAACGGCUCUGAUGAUUUCCACAGAAUAAAGACUCUGCAACAUGGCAUGGAAGAUGCCUCCACCUGUGGACUCUUGUCUCAUUCAGCCCUGACUUCAAUACUGCCAUGAGAUCCGGCUGCUAUCAACUAUAUGAACAUGGCCAUUCUCUCUCAGACAGACCUCCUUGCCUACAUCCA